GCCCCCGUGGCGGAAUUGGUAUACGCGGCAGGUUGAGGGCCUGUGCUCUUUGAGCGUGCUGGUUCGAGUCCAGCCGGGGGCACCA
RNAcentral lists this transfer RNA (85 nucleotides) under Candidatus Poribacteria bacterium. RNAcentral describes it as "tRNA-Leu". It matches the Rfam family "tRNA". Rfam says of the family: Transfer RNA (tRNA) molecules are approximately 80 nucleotides in length. Lineage: Bacteria; Candidatus Poribacteria. The record is from RNAcentral.